GUGGGGAAUCUUAGACAAUGGGGGAAACCCUGAUCUAGCCAUGCCGCGUGAGCGAUGAAGGCCUUAGGGUUGUAAAGCUCUUUCAGCUGGGAAGAUAAUGACGGUACCAGCAGAAGAAGCCCCGGCUAACUCCGUGCCAGCAGCCGCGGUAAUACGGAGGGGGCUAGCGUUGUUCGGAAUUACUGGGCGUAAAGCGCACGUAGGCGGAUCAGAAAGUCAGAGGUGAAAUCCCAGGGCUCAACCUUGGAACUGCCUUUGAAACUCCUGGUCUUGAGGUCGAGAGAGGUGAGUGGAAUUCCGAGUGUAGAGGUGAGAUUCGUAGAUAUUCGGGGGAACACCAGUGGCGAAGGCGGCUCACUGGCUCGAUACUGACGCUGAGGUGCGAAAGCGUGGGGAGCAAACAGGAUUAGAAACCCGAGUAGUCC
Molecule: ribosomal RNA, 425 nt
Filed under: uncultured bacterium
Lineage: Bacteria
Description: partial 16S ribosomal RNA
Rfam family: Bacterial small subunit ribosomal RNA
Source: RNAcentral